RNAcentral lists this ribosomal RNA (445 nucleotides) under uncultured bacterium. Its description in RNAcentral is "partial 16S ribosomal RNA". It matches the Rfam family "Bacterial small subunit ribosomal RNA", at positions 354 to 796 of the family's 1533-position model. The record is from RNAcentral.
GUGAGGAAUAUUGGUCAAUGGGCGGGAGCCUGAACCAGCCAAGUCGCGUGAAGGAAGAAGGAUCUAUGGUUCGUAAACUUCUUUUGCAGGGGAAUAAAGUGCAGGACGUGUCCUGUUUUGUAUGUACCCUGAGAAUAAGGAUCGGCUAACUCCGUGCCAGCAGCCGCGGUAAUACGGAGGAUCCGAUCGUUAUCCGGAUUUAUUGGGUUUAAAGGGUGCGUAGGUGGUUUGAUAAGUCAGCGGUGAAAGUUUGCAGAUUAACUGUAAAAAUGCCGUUGAAACUGUCGGACUUGAGUGUAAAUGAGGUAGGCGGAAUGCGUGGUGUAGCGGUGAAAUGCAUAGAUAUCACGCAGAACUCCGAUUGCGAAGGCAGCUUACUAAGCUACAACUGACACUGAAGCACGAAAGCGUGGGGAUCAAACAGGAUUAGAUACCCUAGUAGUCC